CACUGGUCGAGUCGGCCUGCGCGGAAGAUGUAACGGGGCUAAACCAUGCACCGAAGCUGCGGCAGCGAACGUAUCACUUAAAGCGAUUCAGCGGGUUACGAUUGACGGAGCGAAGCGACGUCAAAGCGUAUACAAAGUCGAGUCGGUUUAAGGAUACGUUCGUUGGGUAGGGGAGCGUUCUGUAAGCCCGUGAAGGUGGCCUGUGAGGGUUGCUGGAGGUAUCAGAAGUGCGAAUGCUGACAUAAGUAACGAUAAAGCGGGUGAAAAGCCCGCUCGCCGGAAGACCAAGGGUU
This 293-nucleotide ribosomal RNA is filed under the name Salmonella enterica subsp. enterica serovar Typhimurium. Its description in RNAcentral is "partial 23S ribosomal RNA". It matches the Rfam family "Bacterial large subunit ribosomal RNA", at positions 1143 to 1353 of the family's 2925-position model. The record is from RNAcentral. Lineage: Bacteria; Pseudomonadati; Pseudomonadota; Gammaproteobacteria; Enterobacterales; Enterobacteriaceae.